This is a long non-coding RNA of Gymnodraco acuticeps, 403 nucleotides long. RefSeq lists it as uncharacterized. NCBI's taxonomy places the organism in Eukaryota, Metazoa, Chordata, Actinopteri, Perciformes, Bathydraconidae. The transcript has 3 exons. The record is from RefSeq and is a predicted model, not a curated record.
ACCGGGCGUUUGAGGAGGCGCGGGCCUGUCCCUCCUGCCUGGUCAGGAGGGACAGGCCCUUGUUGGCUUCGGGGACUUUAAAUUUGAGACCCUGGACAGCCUGUACGAGUCUGUGGACCCCAAAAAAAUCCGAUUUGUCAACUACCUCCGGAGGAAGAUUCCCACACCCGGCACGCAGAUGGAGAACGCCAUCUGCUACCAAGAGCCGAGACAGACAGAGACCUGCUGCUGUUGCUGCUGCUGCAUCCACCACCACCAGCACAGUCUCUGUCUCUGGCCAGAGAGCGAGGACUGCAUCAAAGCCUCUUGGUUCAGCGCUUGCAGCCUUCGUGUCCGGGCGGCGUUCUCUGUCUGCCGUGGAACUGCAGGCAAAGAUCAAGAAGCUGGUGGUCCCUAAGCCUGC